Molecule: small RNA, 125 nt
Filed under: Marmota monax (woodchuck)
Lineage: Eukaryota; Metazoa; Chordata; Mammalia; Rodentia; Sciuridae
Source: RNAcentral
GCUGGGUGUGGUGGCACACGCCUGUAAUUCCACUGGCUCUGGAAGCUGAGGCAGGAGGAUCCUGAAUUCAAAGCCAUUCUCAGCAAUGGUAAGAUGCUUAGCAACACAGUGAGACCCUGUCUCUA